ACACCGUUGGUGAAGUGGUUAUCAUGCUUGCCUUCCAUGAUGCUUGCGAAAGCCAGGUUUGAGCAAGCGGCUCGGGUUCGAUUCCCGAACGGUGUA
RNAcentral lists this transfer RNA (96 nucleotides) under Marasmius sp. AFHP31. Its description in RNAcentral is "tRNA-Gly". It matches the Rfam family "tRNA". From Rfam's summary of the family: Transfer RNA (tRNA) molecules are approximately 80 nucleotides in length. Their secondary structure includes four short double-helical elements and three loops (D, anti-codon, and T loops). The record is from RNAcentral. Lineage: Eukaryota; Fungi; Basidiomycota; Agaricomycetes; Agaricales; Marasmiaceae.